AUGUCCCAGCCGCGUUGCCCAGACGGCUUCGUUCUUCCCGACGCGGCUGUCUGCCAUGCGCACUGCUGCCACCCGGUGAAGCCUGCCUCCAUCAAUGGAGACGCCAAGGCGCCUGACAGCGUCGAGAUCCACCAGCAGUGGGGAAACGUGAAUGGUAGGGUGACGACCAAGGAGGAGGACGAGUAUUGCCGCUUCAAGUUCAACUCGGCGGAGGGUGAUGACUUGUACCUGGUUUUUUUGCCGUGGCCACUGCCCUGGCUCAGGGAGCUUAAUAAAGCUUGGACAGUGGUGAGGGAUCUGAUGGUGGUGAUGUUGUUGGGCUGGUUGUGGCCUCGUAUGUGGCAGCAACGGCCUCCCUCCUGUAACCUCUAUCGAUGGCCAUGGCAUGGUGAGCUCUCUGUUUCCUGGAUCCAAACCCCCUCCUUCAUUCAAUCUCUGAUUCCAACGUUCCCCCCUUUGCUCAAUUGUUCGAUCUGGGCCUGUAGGCGACCUCCACGGACGAGGAAAGGAGAGGAGGACAAGCAGUCCCUGACGCCAAGUACUCAGGGUCCCAACACAAGGACAAGCAGCGGCGACCACAUCUUCUUCCAUUCAGCCCAAGGACAAGCAGCAGCAGCGACCACAGCAGAUGCAGCCAUGCAGGGGAGGACGAUGACGCUAAACAGCAGUAGCAGCUCAAGGCGGUGGACACCCAUGGGUCUUGCUGCAUGUGGUGGGUUUUGGAGAACCAACUUGAGAUGCAGGAAGUGGGUUCUUGAGCUGUGCUCUGCUCGAGCAGGAGGGGUUUGCUCCUUUUCUCCUAGGGCGACCAAGAGCAGGUGCCGUCCUUCCAUGGACGAGGAGGACAAUGACCUGAACCUCGACGGUGAUGUUGUCAACCCCGCACAAGGUUGGGAUGAGAUGUGUGUUUGCAUGCUUGUGCUUAUGUGGUUGAUGAUCACAUAUGUAUUAGUGUUGCUGGUGUUGGUCAUGAAGUUUCUGUUAUCACUGAUGACACUCCCUUCAUGCUUGCUGACCUACACCUUGCUUGGUUGUUCUCACAGUGCUGAUGAGGCCAUGAUGCUUACCUUGCUGGAGCGCAUCAACCCCGACCAUGGCACCACAUUCACACUCUUGAGAACAUAUAUCUUGUUAUCUCAAUUCAUUCGUGCCGUGCUCAAUGAACCAUCUAAGAUUGAAUCAUUUUCUGCGUUCAACAUCUAG
Molecule: ribosomal RNA, 1203 nt
Filed under: Triticum aestivum (bread wheat)
Lineage: Eukaryota; Viridiplantae; Streptophyta; Magnoliopsida; Poales; Poaceae
Description: partial small subunit ribosomal RNA
Source: RNAcentral